This 327-nucleotide ribosomal RNA is filed under the name uncultured Pseudomonadota bacterium. Its description in RNAcentral is "bacterial SSU rRNA". It matches the Rfam family "Bacterial small subunit ribosomal RNA", at positions 29 to 351 of the family's 1533-position model. Lineage: Bacteria; Pseudomonadati; Pseudomonadota. The record is from RNAcentral.
AGUGAACGCUGGCGGCAGGCCUAACACAUGCAAGUCGAACGGCAGCACAAGGGAGCUUGCUCCCUGGGUGGCGAGUGGCGGACGGGUGAGGAAUACAUCGGAAUCUGCCCUGUCGUGGGGGAUAACGUAGGGAAACUUACGCUAAUACCGCAUACGACCUUCGGGUGAAAGAGGGGGAUCGCAAGACCUCUCGCGAUUGGAUGAGCCGAUGUCGGAUUAGCUAGUUGGCGGGGUAAAGGCCCACCAAGGCGACGAUCCGUAGCUGGUCUGAGAGGAUGAUCAGCCACACUGGAACUGAGACACGGUCCAGACUCCUACGGGAGGCAG